GAUGAACGCUGGCGGCGUGCUUAACACAUGCAAGUCGAACGGAAAGGCCCUGCUUUUGUGGGGUGCUCGAGUGGCGAACGGGUGAGUAACACGUGAGUAACCUGCCCCUGACUUUGGGAUAACUUCAGGAAACUGGGGCUAAUACCGGAUAGGAGCUCCUGCUGCAUGGUGUGGGUUGGAAAGUUUCGGUGGUUGGGGAUGGACUCGCGGCUUAUCAGCUUGUUGGUGGGGUAGUGGCUUACCAAGGCUUUGACGGGUAGCCGGCCUGAGAGGGUGACCGGCCACAUUGGGACUGAGAUACGGCCCAGACUCCUACGGGAGGCAGCAGUGGGGAAUAUUGCACAAUGGGCGGAAGCCUGAUGCAGCAACGCCGCGUGCGGGAUGACGGCCUUCGGGUUGUAAACCGCUUUCGCCAGGGAAGAAGCGUGAGUGACGGUAAUGGGUAAAGAAGCACCGGCUAACUACGUG
RNAcentral lists this ribosomal RNA (468 nucleotides) under uncultured bacterium. RNAcentral describes it as "partial 16S ribosomal RNA". It matches the Rfam family "Bacterial small subunit ribosomal RNA", at positions 28 to 507 of the family's 1533-position model. The record is from RNAcentral.